Non-coding RNA from Myotis brandtii (Brandt's bat), 81 nucleotides. The record is from Rfam. NCBI's taxonomy places the organism in Eukaryota, Metazoa, Chordata, Mammalia, Chiroptera, Vespertilionidae.
CUGCAGAGAGAGAGAGGCAGGGUCUGAUCCCCAGCCUCCAUGGCAGCUGUUGAUCAGCCAUUGCCUCUCUCUUUCUCUCCC